AGCAGCCGCGGUAAUUCCAGCUCCAAUAGCGUAUAUUAAAGUUGUUGCAGUUAAAAAGCUCGUAGUUGAAUUUCGGGAUCAAUUAAUUGGUCGUGCCUCUGGUACGUACUGAUUUUAUUGGUUUCUCCCUUCUGACGAACCAUGAUGUCAUUAAUUUGGUGUCGUGGAGAAUCAGGACUGUUACUUUGAAAAAAUUAGAGUGUUUAAAGCAAGCUAACGCUUGAAUACAUUAGCAUGGAAUAAUGAAAUAGGACGUUUGAUCCUAUUUUGUUGGUUUCUAGGAUCGACGUAAUGAUUAAUAGGGAUAGUUGGGGGCAUUAGUAUUCAAUUGUCAGAGGUGAAAUUCUUGGAUUUAUUGAAGACUAACUACUGCGAAAGCAUUUGCCAAGGAUGUUUUCAUUAAUCAAGAACGAAAGUUAGGGGAUCGAAGACGAUCAGAUACCGUCGUAGUCUUAACCAUAAACUAUGCCGACUAGGGAUCGGAUGAUGUUAAUUUUUA
RNAcentral lists this ribosomal RNA (499 nucleotides) under uncultured Glomus. Its description in RNAcentral is "SSU rRNA". It matches the Rfam family "Eukaryotic small subunit ribosomal RNA", at positions 569 to 1072 of the family's 1831-position model. The record is from RNAcentral. Lineage: Eukaryota; Fungi; Glomeromycota; Glomeromycetes; Glomerales; Glomeraceae.